CAUACCUAUUCGAAGGGAUAGGGUCGGUUUGGCCGGAUUUCACACAGGUGUUGCAUGGCUGUCGUCAGCUCGUGUCGUGAGAUGUUGGGUUAAGUCCCGCAACGAGCGCAACCCUCAUCCUUAGUUACCAUCAGGUUAUGCUGGGGACUUUAAGGAAACUGCCAGUGAUAAACUGGAGGAAGGUGGGGAUGAUGUCAAGUCAUCAUGGCCCUUAUGGAGUGGGCUACACACGUGCUACAAUGGUGAUUACAAUGGGCUGCAAGGUCGCAAGGCUGAGCUAAUCCUAAAAAAUCAUCUCAGUUCGGAUUGUUCUCUGCAACUCGAGAGCAUGAAGUUGGAAUCGCUAGUAAUCGUGGAUCAACAUGCCACGGUGAAUACGUUCUCGGGUCUUGUACACACUGCCCGUCACGCCAUGGGAAUUGGUUUCACUCGAAGCU
Molecule: ribosomal RNA, 437 nt
Filed under: Wolbachia pipientis
Lineage: Bacteria; Pseudomonadati; Pseudomonadota; Alphaproteobacteria; Rickettsiales; Anaplasmataceae
Description: bacterial SSU rRNA
Rfam family: Bacterial small subunit ribosomal RNA
Source: RNAcentral